GAACAGUGGUAUCCCCGAUCACACUUAAAGCAACUGGUAAGAGUCAUCUCACUAUGUCAAGCACCUAAACAAUUCGCUUUCCCGUUUACCUGGGAUUUCUUUAAUUUAAUCUUUUUUUUUAAUUACAGUGGAUUGAAGGAAUAAGAAAACAGAUAUAUCUAGGAGUCAUUUACAUGCAUACGUAUGCGUUAUACAAUGUCAACAUGGUAUAUGUCAAAAGAUAGAAUAGUAUUAACAUUAUUUUGCUUAUCGCAAAGUUUGAUUUCUUGAUAUUCAUAUAUCAAUGAAUUCUAGCGAAUCCUUUAAUAAAAAGGGUAUUAGUAAAAAUUCUAACAUUGCAUGAAGAAAAUUAAGAUCGGGAAAUAUGAAAAAUCAAUUAAAGAUUUAUGAGGAUUUUAUAUUUUAAAAAUUUUUAGUUCAUUUGUUGAAAUGACAGGUUCCUCAGGUUUACGUAUAGGUAGUUGUUGAAGACAUAAAUAAGAUUAUAUAAUAAUUAAAACCUGGGAGAAGAUUACGGUAUGCUUUAGCAGUAUAAUCAUGAUGUUAAGGCAUAUUUUUCGGGAAGCCAAAAAACGAGUUGGGACCCUGCAGUCAAAAGUUGAUCAUACCUAGGAUUAUACUUAACAAGACCUGGAUUAAUUAUAGACUGAGAAACAAUACGAUGUUCAGGAGGUCUUGUUUUUCCUUUAUGGUGAAAGGUAUGUCUUAAAUUCCAUACAUUCAGGGUACGGUCGUCAGCAGAUCCUAUGACAAAAUUACCUUGAGGUACAAAAGUGGUUGAGCCGCCGUGAAAAUUGUUGGAGAACGGCAAUUCUUGGAAGUCCUCUAAUCUAGAUAAAACAUCCCCGCUGAAUGCAUCAAGUAUAUAGUGAACAUUAGCUCUAGUUGAGAGAAGUAUACAUUUUCCAUCGUUGGAAAACUCCAUAUGUUUCCACUCAGGCAUCAUGGGGGGAAACGAAAACCUUGAUAAGUAACGAGAGUCAUCUAUUGUGAAUGUUGAAAACGGAUCAGAACCAUAAUUCCGCACGUCGUAAAGAAAGAUACGUGACAGUGAAUGACAUGCAACCGCAAAAACAAGACCUGUGGGAUCAUAAGCGGGAAUUCCAAGGGAUGGGAGAUCUAAAUUUCCAAGGCAUCUCGAGGAUUGAUUCAUUUUCCAAAGCUUCAAGGUUUUGUCGUUUGCCGUACUAACGAAUUGGUCUUCAAUAGGAGAAACCUCAAUGGAUGAAACGAUGUCCGUGUGCCCACUGAAGUACGAUAUUCUUUUGUUGUCAUAAAUUGAAACAUAUUGAAUAUCCUUAUUCCCCUUUGUGGUAGACAAAAGUAGAUUAUGAUCGUGGUGUGUAAAACGAGCAACUUCUAUGCCGGUUUCGAAACAAGUUAUUGUAUGGACUUGCUUCGGAUCUAAAGCAUCAUAUAUUUGGACUGUGUCAUCGGCAGAACAUGUCGUUGCAACAUACUCUCCAGAAUCACUGUAAUCAAUGCUAUUAAUGAAGCUUCCUAAUGAGUUAUCACGAAACGACUGUGCAGGCUUUAAACUCGAAAGUAUGCCGAUAUCCAUUGAGAAUUAAAUAAAAUAUAUAAAUUCUCUUUGAAUUUCCUUUUAUAUCCCCUUAAGGGCCUUUCUACUUUGCUAAGCCCUUGCUUGCAUUUGUUUACUUGUGAUUCCACAAAAUUAGAGUAGUGCCAGACAACGUGUUUAACGAACUGUAGCACGUUUUAGUAUACAGUUUUAAAUUACAAUUCGAAAACUUUUAAAAAGAAUAGUGAAGUUGAAAAUUAACAGGCUAUUAAUUUCUCC
RNAcentral lists this long non-coding RNA (1801 nucleotides) under Schizosaccharomyces pombe (fission yeast). Its description in RNAcentral is "non-coding RNA, possible alternative UTR". The record is from RNAcentral. Lineage: Eukaryota; Fungi; Ascomycota; Schizosaccharomycetes; Schizosaccharomycetales; Schizosaccharomycetaceae.